This 205-nucleotide ribosomal RNA is filed under the name uncultured bacterium. RNAcentral describes it as "partial 16S ribosomal RNA". It matches the Rfam family "Bacterial small subunit ribosomal RNA", at positions 1296 to 1500 of the family's 1533-position model. The record is from RNAcentral.
GAUUGUAGGCUGCAACUCGCCUACAUGAAGUCGGAAUCGCUAGUAAUCGCGGAUCAGCAUGCCGCGGUGAAUACGUUCCCGGGCCUUGUACACACCGCCCGUCACACCAUGAGAGUUUGUAACACCCAAAGCCGGUGGGGUAACCUUUUGGAGCCAGCCGUCUAAGGUGGGACAGAUGAUUGGGGUGAAGUCGUAACAAGGUACC